UACGGGAGGCAGCAGUGGGGAAUAUUGCACAAUGGGCGCAAGCCUGAUGCAGCCAUGCCGCGUGUAUGAAGAAGGCCUUCGGGUUGUAAAGUACUUUCAGUCGUGAGGAAGGUGUUAAGGUUAAUAACCUUAGCAAUUGACGUUAGCGACAGAAGAAGCACCGGCUAACUCCGUGCCAGCAGCCGCGGUAAUACGGAGGGUGCGAGCGUUAAUCGGAAUUACUGGGCGUAAAGGGCACGCAGGCGGUUAAUUAAGUUGGAUGUGAAAUCCCCGGGCUUAACCUGGGAAUGGCAUUCAAGACUGGUUAGCUAGAGUCUUGUAGAGGGGGUAGAAUUCCAUGUGUAGCGGUGAAAUACGUAGAGAUGUGGAGGAAUACCGGUGGCGAAGGCGGCCCCUGGACAAAGACUGACGCUCAUGUGCGAAAGCGUGGGGAGCAAACAGGGAUUAGAUACC
Molecule: ribosomal RNA, 453 nt
Filed under: uncultured bacterium
Lineage: Bacteria
Description: bacterial SSU rRNA
Rfam family: Bacterial small subunit ribosomal RNA
Source: RNAcentral